GGAUUGCCCCCAGUAGCGGCGAGUGAAGCGGCAAAAGCUCAGAUUUGGAAUCGCUUCGGCGAGUUGUGAAUUGCAGGUUGGCGCCUCUGCGGCGGCGGCGGUCCAAGUCCCUUGGAACAGGGCGCCAUUGAGGGUGAGAGCCCCGUGGGACCGUUUGCCUAUGCUCUGAGGCCCUUCUGACGAGUCGAGUUGUUUGGGAAUGCAGCUCUAAGCGGGUGGUAAAUUCCAUCUAAGGCUAAAUACUGGCGAGAGACCGAUAGCGAACAAGUACUGUGAAGGAAAGAUGAAAAGCACUUUGAAAAGAGAGUGAAACAGCACGUGAAAUUGUUGAAAGGGAAGGGUAUUGCGCCCGACAUGGAGCGUGCGCACCGCUGCCCCUCGUGGGCGGCGCUCUGGGCGUGCUCUGGGCCAGCAUCGGUUUUUGCCGCGGGAGAAGGGCGGCGGGCAUGUAGCUCUUCGGAGUGUUAUAGCCUGCCGCCGGCGCCGCGAGCGGGGACCGAGGACUGCGACUUUUGUC
This 517-nucleotide ribosomal RNA is filed under the name Pichia fermentans. RNAcentral describes it as "eukaryotic LSU rRNA". It matches the Rfam family "Eukaryotic large subunit ribosomal RNA", at positions 72 to 606 of the family's 3401-position model. Lineage: Eukaryota; Fungi; Ascomycota; Pichiomycetes; Pichiales; Pichiaceae. The record is from RNAcentral.